GACGAACGCUGGCGGCGUGCUUAACACAUGCAAGUCGAACGGAAAGACCCUGCUUUUGUGGGGUGCUCGAGUGGCGAACGGGUGAGUAACACGUGAGUAACCUGCCCUUGACUUUGGGAUAACUUCAGGAAACUGGGGCUAAUACCGGAUAGGAGCUCCUGCUGCAUGGUGGGGGUUGGAAAGUUUCGGCGGUUGGGGAUGGACUCGCGGCUUAUCAGCUUGUUGGUGGGGUAGUGGCUUACCAAGGCUUUGACGGGUAGCCGGCCUGAGAGGGUGACCGGCCACAUUGGGACUGAGAUACGGCCCAGACUCCUACGGGAGGCAGCAGUGGGGAAUAUUGCACAAUGGGCGGAAGCCUGAUGCAGCAACGCCGCGUGCGGGAUGACGGCCUUUGGGUUGUAAACCGCUUUCGCCUGUGACGAAGCGUGAGUGACGGUAAUGGGUAAAGAAGCACCGGCUAACUACGUG
Molecule: ribosomal RNA, 468 nt
Filed under: uncultured bacterium
Lineage: Bacteria
Description: partial 16S ribosomal RNA
Rfam family: Bacterial small subunit ribosomal RNA
Source: RNAcentral